Molecule: ribosomal RNA, 495 nt
Filed under: uncultured bacterium
Lineage: Bacteria
Description: partial 16S ribosomal RNA
Rfam family: Bacterial small subunit ribosomal RNA
Source: RNAcentral
GACGAACGCUGGCGGCGUGCCUAAUACAUGCAAGUCGGACGCUGAAGGAGGAGCUUGCUUCUCUGGAUGAGUUGCGAACGGGUGAGUAACGCGUAGGUAACCUGCCUGGUAGCGGGGGAUAACUAUUGGAAACGAUAGCUAAUACCGCAUAAUAGUAGAUGUUGCAUGACAUUUGCUUAAAAGGUGCAAUUGCAUCACUACCAGAUGGACCUGCGUUGUAUUAGCUAGUUGGUGGGGUAACGGCUCACCAAGGCGACGAUACAUAGCCGACCUGAGAGGGUGAUCGGCCACACUGGGACUGAGACACGGCCCAGACUCCUACGGGAGGCAGCAGUAGGGAAUCUUCGGCAAUGGACGGAAGUCUGACCGAGCAACGCCGCGUGAGUGAAGAAGGGUUUCGGAUCGUAAAGCUCUGUUGUAAGAGAAGAACGAGUGUGAGAGUGGAAAGUUCACACUGUGACGGUAUCUUACCAGAAAGAGACGGCUAACUACGUG